GGAGAGGUGGCUCAGUGGUUAAGAGCACUGGCUGCUCUUCCAGUGGACCUGGGUUCAAUUCCCAGCAUCCACA
Molecule: transfer RNA, 73 nt
Organism: Neotoma lepida (desert woodrat)
Lineage: Eukaryota; Metazoa; Chordata; Mammalia; Rodentia; Cricetidae
Rfam family: tRNA
About the family: Transfer RNA (tRNA) molecules are approximately 80 nucleotides in length.
Source: Rfam